AUUCAGGCCAAUAGCAGUGAUGCUAUCAGCCGACCCGCCCCCAUACCCUCACGCUCUUCUUCUCCCUCGUCGCGUGACCACCCACUUGUAGUGACUCAUCCUUGCUCGUCCAUCUCCGACGCCGUUUGACAAAAAUCGAUGCUCCAACGUCUCUUUCGCUUUUUCUGCCCGGCCUGCAACUCUCGUCCUUGCGCAGCAGAAUGCACGCGAAUCAUACUGGCUAGCAUGAGAUAUAGCUCCACAUAAAGCUGCAAGGACGGAUGGAGCGAGCCGGAAGAAAUUUUUUUCUCGUACGAAAGCCAUUUUUCCCUCCUUCGAAAGAAAUCUUUUUGAAUUGGAGGGUUAAUUUAGAGUCCCGUCAUUUCCCUUUUCUCUCCCAUUUUGAAAACCCUAGUACCCCCUAUAGAAUAUCCUUCUCUUGUUCAUUGGAGGGGGUUUGAAAAAAUUUUGGGGAUUUUUGGGGUCUAUGGGGAAUUUUUUGUCAGUUUGAGAAAAAUUUUGGGAAGACUUUGGGAACUCUUGAUUUGCAGUUUUUUAUAUACAUACUAAAAAUCUUUAAAAUUACGAAGAGGAUAAUCGACCUGGCCUAAAACUCCUCCACCCUCCCUCUGUCAGCGUUUCCCUCUGUAUUUUGGUCGAGCUUUGGGAUUUUAUUUGGAGUUUGUCUGUUGCUAUUCCAUCUUUGCGUUUUGGUGUGAUUGUCGCUGCCUCCCUGCUCGCUGUCCCCGUUCGCUGCCCACAACAAGUUUAGGUUCCUGUCAUUGAAGGAUUUUGGAGACGACUUUGCAGAAGACUUUGAAUUCUUGAUCAUCCAAGUAUGGUAGAUCCUCACUUUCCGAGGGCAAUGCCACUAUAAACACUAUGAUGUUGCUUUAGUUUUCAGACUCUUAUGUUUCUUUCUUUUUCAUUUGGAUAUUAAACGUUGUAUGACCUAUAUGUGGUCUUCUUUCAUUGAUGUAUGGGCUAGGCCCAAUUUGAUAUACUCUUAUGAGAUGAGAUGACUAUUUGAGACUAUGUUAUAUUCUAUUUAUUUAUGUUCAGUAAAAGUAAUUUAUAUCUAUUACGUGUA
Molecule: long non-coding RNA, 1069 nt
Organism: Solanum pennellii
Lineage: Eukaryota; Viridiplantae; Streptophyta; Magnoliopsida; Solanales; Solanaceae
Exons: 2
Source: RefSeq, a predicted model, not a curated record